Long non-coding RNA from Peromyscus eremicus (cactus mouse), 493 nucleotides. RefSeq lists it as uncharacterized. The record is from RefSeq and is a predicted model, not a curated record. NCBI's taxonomy places the organism in Eukaryota, Metazoa, Chordata, Mammalia, Rodentia, Cricetidae. The transcript has 3 exons.
CGAGAACUUUCGCCACAGCAGUGGAGGGAGUUUGCAUCCGUACGUCAGCCUAGCAUGAAAAACAGAGAGAAGCAGAUUGUGCGGGGACCAGAGGACAGACGAGACUGAUGGAGGAAGCUAACCAGAGGCCUUGCUGGCCCCAGGCUGAUGGCAUCACCUGGACCAGAGGCAGCAGUGCACGAGGCUGUGAACUUCUGAAAAUAAAAAUGACAACAGAAACCGAAAACUCCCAGUCUCUAGAGGAUUGAGAAGAUUGAAACGAAGCAACUUCAUCUUCCUCUGGAAAGACUGGAAGAUCAGUCAGAAAACUUGCCUCCAAAUCUGCCCUAUCAGGCUCACUGCUGCGCAUCACCUUAAGUGGCGAAAGUGGCAUUCACUCAUUCUGAGAGCUAUCCAUGCAUGCUGGCUGUGCUCCUCAGCCAAGCACCACAGAAGGUCCUUGUGUAUGGUGUUUGGUCUUGACAACCCUUCCAAAAAGGUUUCACCACUCUCA